RNAcentral lists this ribosomal RNA (253 nucleotides) under uncultured bacterium. RNAcentral's name for it is "partial 16S ribosomal RNA". It matches the Rfam family "Bacterial small subunit ribosomal RNA", at positions 524 to 776 of the family's 1533-position model. The record is from RNAcentral.
UACGUAGGUGGCAAGCGUUGUCCGGAUUUACUGGGCGUAAAGCGCGCGUAGGCGGGUUGGUAAGUCCGCUGUGAAAGCCCGGAGCUUAACUCCGGAGGGUCGGUGGAUACUGCCAGUCUUGAAGGUGCUAGGGGGAGAUGGAAUUACCGGUGUAGCGGUGAAAUGCGUAGAUAUCGGUAGGAACACCAGUGGCGAAGGCGGUCUCCUGGGGCAUUCUUGACGCUGAGGCGCGAAAGCUGGGGGAGCGAACGGG